AAAGAGCCUCCUCCUGAGUUUGAGUUCAUUGCUGAUCCUCCCUCUAUCUCAGCCUUCGACUUGGAUGUGGUGAAGCUGACGGCUCAGUUUGUGGCCAGGAAUGGGCGCCAGUUUCUGACCCAGCUGAUGCAGAAAGAGCAGCGCAACUACCAGUUUGACUUUCUCCGCCCACAGCACAGCCUCUUCAACUACUUCACGAAGCUAGUGGAACAGUACACCAAGAUCUUGAUUCCACCCAAAGGUUUAUUUUCAAAGCUCAAGAAAGAGGCUGAAAACCCCCGAGAAGUUUUGGAUCAGGUAAACUGAAUAGCAUUUCUUGCAACCAGUUACUGGUGGUUGGUUCUGUUUUAUGUCUGAAAACAGUCUCUGAGGCAGGACCUUGUUAUGUUCCAGUCAUGGGAAUGGUGGGAGAAAAGGCUUUGUUGGCUACAAAGGCCAAAGAAACCUGGAGUCCGGAUGCUUCCCAACAUACCACAACUUUCUGCUUUGCUCUCAGCCUCAAUAUAUCUCCCUCUUUUCCACUCUAGCUAGAAGACAGAAGGCCAGCUCCCAAGC
This 555-nucleotide long non-coding RNA is filed under the name Homo sapiens (human). Its description in RNAcentral is "non-protein coding lnc-TBC1D10A-1:2". Lineage: Eukaryota; Metazoa; Chordata; Mammalia; Primates; Hominidae. The record is from RNAcentral.